ACCCCCCCCCCCCCCCCCCGCUCACCCGCCACCGCGAGAAAACUAUUAGAUGCGACACUCGGAGGACGGUGCAGCUCGAGACGUUGUGUCUCGUUGCUGUUCUUUGCUGUCACAGCUCAGAGGACGUUUUCUGAGCUGCUCUCUGACGGGCUGCACGGCAGCAGAGGGACGAGCGCUCCGCAAUCCCACCACGGCCCACAGAGUCCCCACGUUUUUCAAAGACAACGUGAGUGGGUCCGAAAUGUUCCCCUGGCAGCUGUCAAAUGCUCAGAAUGCAGAACCUUUCAUUUUCCAACUGCUACAGAAGAACCAGACAUGUGAUCUGAUCUGUGCGUCCCUCUGGUUCCCCUGAUGAGUGGUGCGUUCCUCUGGUUCCCCUGAGGUGUGAGUGCAUUCCUCUGGUUCCGCUGACCUGUGGUGCGUUCCUCUGGUUCCCCUGAGAUGUGAGUGCGUUCCUCUGGUUCCCCUGACCUGUGGGGCGUUCCUCUGGUUCCCCUGAUGAGUGGUGCGUUCC
Gasterosteus aculeatus aculeatus (three-spined stickleback) is the source of this 514-nucleotide long non-coding RNA. NCBI's taxonomy places the organism in Eukaryota, Metazoa, Chordata, Actinopteri, Perciformes, Gasterosteidae. The record is from Ensembl.